Molecule: long non-coding RNA, 908 nt
Organism: Xiphias gladius (swordfish)
Lineage: Eukaryota; Metazoa; Chordata; Actinopteri; Istiophoriformes; Xiphiidae
Exons: 4
Source: RefSeq, a predicted model, not a curated record
UCUCUUGACCACUUAUGGUGUGGUACUUGACCGGCUGCUGCGCUGGCCCGACAUCAGGUCCAGACCACAGUAACAAGGGUGGUCCUCUACGUUUAAGCUCACUCGGUAUUUUCACGGUCCAACACAGGUUGAGCCGCUGGAGUCGUGCUUUCAUCCCAUCCGCCAUAAACUGUACAAAAACAAGAUCUGAGGGGUUACUUCUCCGAAACUCGUUCCUGACAGUGUGGGACACUUCUGAAUCAUUUCAUUGGAAAGUUGAUUUUGCAGCUCCCAGAAGCCGAGGAUCCUCGGGAAAAUCUACACACUUCCGUCUUUACUCCGGCUAACUCCGGUUACCUUGACGCAGCUGAACCCGCCAAUACGCCGAGCGACUGGGGUGGACACAGUUCCUGUCCCGGGGCAGUCAAACUUCAGGCGGCAGAGCGGAGCCAAUCGAGCAGGACUGAAUGCCUUAGGGAAGCAGCGGGAGGAUUCAGGGCCCCAGAGGUUCCCAGGCGUUUGGCCCUCAUUUGAUAACAGUUUGGUCUCAAGCUCCACAGCCUUAGUGCAGAACCGAUGACACUUUAUACUGCAGAUGACCUGGGCAGGGUAACAUCCAGCAACUGCCAUUACAUUUACGUGUCUUCAAAUAAAAUAAUAGGAAAACUACUGUAGGGCAUGUACAAUCAGCAUUUUAACCAACCUUUAAUACGCACUAACAGUUGCUGUUAAAGCGUGAUUUAAUUCAGUGGUUUCUAUAAUGCUUAGUCAAACCCACAUGUUCAUCAUAUAGUUAUAGGAUUCAAUGAAAAGCCGUUAUGAAAAACAAAAUAUUUAAUAGUAGAAACAAUUACAUACAAUAAUUAACGGAGUAUUGUAUAGUCUUUGCUAAAUAUUUACCAAUAUCCAUUGAAGAUGAAGCAGUGGGU